This is a long non-coding RNA of Pomacea canaliculata, 189 nucleotides long. RefSeq lists it as uncharacterized. The transcript has 2 exons. Lineage: Eukaryota; Metazoa; Mollusca; Gastropoda; Architaenioglossa; Ampullariidae. The record is from RefSeq and is a predicted model, not a curated record.
UUUAAAGGUAUCCAUAUACAGCUAAGUGUGAAAUACUUUGUAAUAAAAGAUCGGAAAAGAGACUGUGAACAAAAAUAUAAGUAUUCUAUAUAAUAAAUUGUAAGCCAAACGUUUUCCACAAAACUGUAUUACCAAGUGGAAAGUCUGUAAACAGGUGGUACCCAUAACGAAUCUUAUGAGGGACAAAAA